RNAcentral lists this transfer RNA (63 nucleotides) under Cryptocephalus rufipes. Its description in RNAcentral is "tRNA-Gly". The record is from RNAcentral. Lineage: Eukaryota; Metazoa; Arthropoda; Insecta; Coleoptera; Chrysomelidae.
AUUUAUAUAAUAUAAAAAUUAUAUUUGACUUCCAAUCAAAAAAUCUAGCUCAUAGUGUAAAUA